CCUACGGGUGGCAGCAGUGGGGAAUAUUGGACAAUGGGGGCAACCCUGAUCCAGACAUGCCGCGUGUGUGAAGAAGGCCCUCGGGUUGUAAAGCACUUUCAGUGAGGAAGAACGCCUGGUGGUUAAUACCCAUCAGGAAAGACAUCACUCACAGAAGAAGCACCGGCUAACUCCGUGCCAGCAGCCGCGGUAAUACGGAGGGUGCGAGCGUUAAUCGGAAUUACUGGGCGUAAAGCGCGCGUAGGUGGCUUGAUAAGCCGGUUGUGAAAGCCCCGGGCUCAACCUGGGAACGGCAUCCGGAACUGUCAAGCUAGAGUGCAGGAGAGGAAGGUAGAAUUCCCGGUGUAGCGGUGAAAUGCGUAGAGAUCGGGAGGAAUACCAGUGGCGAAGGCGGCCUUCUGGACUGACACUGACACUGAGGUGCGAAAGCGUGGGUAGCAAACAGGAUUAGAUACCCCAGUAGUC
RNAcentral lists this ribosomal RNA (465 nucleotides) under Vreelandella stevensii. RNAcentral's name for it is "partial 16S ribosomal RNA". It matches the Rfam family "Bacterial small subunit ribosomal RNA", at positions 338 to 795 of the family's 1533-position model. The record is from RNAcentral. Lineage: Bacteria; Pseudomonadati; Pseudomonadota; Gammaproteobacteria; Oceanospirillales; Halomonadaceae.